CCUACGGGGUGCAGCAGUAGGGAAUCUUCCACAAUGGGCGAAAGCCUGAUGGAGCAACGCCGCGUGGGUGAAGAAGGUCUUCGGAUCGUAAAACCCUGUUGUUAGAGAAGAAAGUGCGUGAGAGUAACUGUUCACGUUUCGACGGUAUCUAACCAGAAAGCCACGGCUAACUACGUGCCAGCAGCCGCGGUAAUACGUAGGUGGCAAGCGUUAUCCGGAUUUAUUGGGCGUAAAGGGAACGCAGGCGGUCUUUUAAGUCUGAUGUGAAAGCCUUGGGCUUAACCGGAGUAGUGCAUUGGAAACUGGGAGACUGGAGUGCAGAAGAGGAGAGUGGAACUCCAUGUGUAGCGGUGAAAUGCGUAGAUAUAUGGAAGAACACCAGUGGCGAAAGCGGCUCUCUGGUCUGUAACUGACGCUGAGGUUCGAAAGCGUGGGUAGCAAACAGGAUUAGAUACCCCGGUAGUC
This 465-nucleotide ribosomal RNA is filed under the name uncultured bacterium. RNAcentral's name for it is "partial 16S ribosomal RNA". It matches the Rfam family "Bacterial small subunit ribosomal RNA", at positions 338 to 795 of the family's 1533-position model. The record is from RNAcentral.